RNAcentral lists this ribosomal RNA (497 nucleotides) under uncultured bacterium. RNAcentral's name for it is "partial 16S ribosomal RNA". It matches the Rfam family "Bacterial small subunit ribosomal RNA", at positions 30 to 523 of the family's 1533-position model. The record is from RNAcentral.
AUUGAACGCUGGCGGCAUGCCUCACACAUGCAAGUCGAACGGUAACAGGUCUCGGAUGCUGACGAGUGGCGAACGGGUGAGUAAUACAUCGGAACGUGCCCGAUCGUGGGGGAUAACGAAGCGAAAGCUUUGCUAAUACCACAUAAGAUCUAAGGAUGAAAGCAGGGGACCGCAAGGCCUUGCGCGAACGGAGCGGCCGAUGGCAGAUUAGGUAGUUGGUGGGAUAAAAGCUUACCAAGCCGACGAUCUGUAGCUGGUCUGAGAGGACGACCAGCCACACUGGGACUGAGACACGGCCCAGACUCCUACGGGAGGCAGCAGUGGGGAAUUUUGGACAAUGGGCGCAAGCCUGAUCCAGCCAUGCCGCGUGCAGGAUGAAGGCCUUCGGGUUGUAAACUGCUUUUGUACGGAACGAAAAGACUCUGGUUAAUACCUGGGGUUCAUGACGGUACCGUAAGAAUAAGCACCGGCUAACUACGUGCCAGCCGCCGCGGUAA